UGCUUUCUCUUCUGCUUGUUCUACUCCCUUUAGAUAUGCCUGAUUCACAGGGAGGAACUGUGUUUGCUUGCCUUUCUUCAGCCCUUGAGCUGAGCAUUUUCUUGCCAUUGCCUGAUCGCUGUUGAUCUGGCCGAUAUUGCCCACAGGGAUUGGGUAGCGAAUCUUCUGAUGUGUGGCAGAGGUGAUGGCGUUGAUCUGGCCGAUCC
This 206-nucleotide long non-coding RNA is filed under the name Prunus persica (peach). Its description in RNAcentral is "long non-coding RNA (PPER_LNC001093)". The record is from RNAcentral. Lineage: Eukaryota; Viridiplantae; Streptophyta; Magnoliopsida; Rosales; Rosaceae.